This is a long non-coding RNA of Rhincodon typus (whale shark), 2556 nucleotides long. RefSeq lists it as uncharacterized. The record is from RefSeq and is a predicted model, not a curated record. Lineage: Eukaryota; Metazoa; Chordata; Chondrichthyes; Orectolobiformes; Rhincodontidae. The transcript has 3 exons.
CUCUGCUGCGAUCCUGGCUAUGGAACUGCAUGAAGAAAGGAAUUCAGAGCAGCUCAUGUUCUGGUCCUGGCUCAAACGGAGAUCGGAAAUCUGCUCUUGCAAAAUUGCGUAUGGAUAAAGAUGGAAUCUACACCGCCAUGCGCCACAAUUCCUCGCUUAAGAACAUCUGCUGUUUGCAACUUGUGCUGCACUUAUUUCUGAUGUUGCAAACUGAUUUGGGGAGUAACUAUGGUCCCCAUAACUAGCUCAGAGUUAGGUCCCCACAUUGUCUCGUCUCCCUGAAUAUCUGCACCAACUUAGAAGUAAACACCCAAAAACCAAUCUAUCAGCACCUCCACUAAUUUUACAACAGAAAAAUGCAAAUUGAUUGAAGGGCUAUCGUUAUUUGCUGGGAAAUUAAUGUUGCUGCUGCGCAUAUUAGACCUACGAAUGGUGCGCAGCAGCAGGAUGUGGAACCUCAAAACUCCUUCAUGCCCGUUUGUUUGUAUUGUGUUGCAGAAAGUAGAAAGUCAUACUUGAGUACAGAGGUGUCUAGGUAGUGUGUCUGAGCAGUCUAAAGUGCUGGAUUAAGGCUUCAGUCUCUGAGGAAGUGUGGGUUCAAACCCCACUGCUGCCAGUUGUACCAGGGCUUUGUCGCACUAGUGUGUUGCAAGGGCAAGUUCAGUUUAAGUUGCAUUCACAGAAAAGUGCUCUGUUUUGAUCCCCACAGUCUAUGAUGAGUGACAGUACAGAAGCUUCAUCAAGUCAGUGGCGCCGUUGUGUUUCUGGAGUGUAGUGGUGAUCACGUUCGCUUCACAUACAAUGACAUCUUCGGUUGAAUAGAGCACUGCUGCCUCAUUAUCUUGGCACGAUGUGUUGUACUUUUCAUUCCAGCGAUGGUUGUCCUGGAGAGGUGGCCGGUGAGCUGCCUUCUCGGACUCGUGCAAUCAUUGUGGUGCAUGCACACCCACUGUGCUGAUCGAAAGGGAAACCUGAUGGAAUCCAGGCUUUGACUGGUAACUUCAAUUUAUUUUUUAAUGUGAAACCUUCUCGAAUUUGGCGAUGGACUAAGGCUCCAAUCUGUUUGGAGGUGCAUUUUGGAAUCAACAGCCCCGGCCCGGCUACAAGUUAUAUCAAUUCCACAGUGUUUUGGAAAUUGAGGAUGUGCAGUCGCAAUACAUACAAAACAUCACACCAGGAUCUGACAGAGUUGUGGAAUAUAAUGUAAGCUGAAUAUCAUUGGAUUUUAAACAUGGAAGGUGGAUGCACCAUUCGUAGCUAAGAGAAACUGUGCACAGAUUCUGUGUGGAUAAGACUACAGGAGAACAUCUGAUUUUUUAAAAACUAAACCAAUGCCACACUGACAAGAAACUGUGGAUAUCUGGGGACUGUGGGAAGGGUUUCAAUUAUCCAUUCAAGCUGCAAACACAUCUGUGCAGUGACACCAGGGAGAAACUGUUCACCUGCUCCAUGUGUGAGAAGCCAUAUGUGAUGACCUCCCGCCUGCUGGCUCACCAGCGGGUUCACAGUGGAAAGGGGUUGUUCCCCUGCUCUGAGUGUGGCAAGGAAUUCAUUCAGUCACUCCCCACGCCCUGCUGACACACCAGCGAGUUCACACUGGGGAGAGACUGUUCACCUGCUCUAAGAGUGGGAAGGAUUUCUCCUGGUCAUCCAACCUCGUGAAACAUCACCAGGUUCAGUCUGAGGAAAGACCCUUUAAAUGUGCAGACUGUGGGAACUGCUAUAAGAGCUCAAGUGGAUUGAUGUACCAUCAAUGUGUUCACACUGAAGAGAGACUGUUCAAGUGCUCUCACUGCGGGGCUGGAUUCAGGACAUCAUCUACUCUCACUGUGCACCAGCAAAUACACACAGCCAUUCACCUGCACAGAGUGUGGGAAGAAAUUCACUCGGUCAUCCAACUUGAUGAAACACCAGCAAGUUCACAAGUAACUGCAGUCACUGGAUGUUUUUUGUUUGUUUGUUCAUGGGAUCAUGGCAUCGCUGGCUCGGCCAAUAUUAACCAUCCAUUCUAACUGCCCAGAGGAUGGUUAAGAGUCAACCACAUUGUUAUGGAACAGAAUUCACAUGUAGGCUGGAUCAAGUCAGAAGAAACAAGGCCCAAUGGUACAAAGAGUUGAUUCCUGGUCUCUUAUCCUGUUUCUGAAAUGAUAAUGAAUAAUUGUACAGCUGAUUUAAAUGCGAAAGACCAAAAUGGGUUUUAUUCUGAUUGAGUACAUCCUCCUGUUUUCUCAGUUGUUAUUGACAAUCUCAUUCCCCUCGCACCAUAACCUGUUCCAGAGAGUGUUACAGAAAAGAGGGAAUGGUCAGCUGCAGUUGGUCACUUGAAGGGUCACUUCAACCCAAAAGGUUAACUCUGAUUUCUCUCCAUAGAUGCUCCAGAACUGCUGAAUGUUUCCAGUUGGUUUUGCCUCUGAUUUUCAAUAUUUACAGUUUCUAAAAAAAAAUCAAUAUUCACUGUGUAUGGUUCAGAGGUGUUUCAUUGAUGAGGUUGGUGCGUUUUGGAAGUUGAAUGUUAGACCACAGAUCAGACAUGAUCCCAUUGAAUGGCAGUACAGG